Molecule: ribosomal RNA, 487 nt
Filed under: uncultured bacterium
Lineage: Bacteria
Description: partial 16S ribosomal RNA
Rfam family: Bacterial small subunit ribosomal RNA
Source: RNAcentral
GACGAACGCUGGCGGCGUGCUUAACACAUGCAAGUCGAACGGGCUCUGUCUGGCUGUGUGCUGGGUGGGGUUAGUGGCGACCGGGUGAGUAAUACGUGAGUAACCUGCCCUCUUCUUCGGGAUAAGCCUUGGAAACGGGGUCUAAUACUGGAUAUUCCUGUCUGGUCGCAUGGCUGGGUGGGGAAAGUUUUUUUCGGUGGGGGAUGGGCUCGCGGCCUAUCAGCUUGUUGGUGGGGUGAUGGCCUACCAAGGCGUCGACGGGUAGCCGGCCUGAGAGGGUGACCGGCCACACUGGGACUGAGAUACGGCCCAGACUGCUACGGGAGGCAGCAGUGGGGGAUAUUGCACAAUGGGCGCAAGCCUGAUGCAGCGACGCCGCGUGGGGGAUGACGGCUUUCGGGUUGUAAACCUCUUUCGUGGGGGGACAAGGCUCUGCUUGGUGGUGGGGUUGAGGGUACCCGGUGAAGAAGCGCCGGCUAACUACGUG